RNAcentral lists this ribosomal RNA (253 nucleotides) under uncultured bacterium. RNAcentral describes it as "partial 16S ribosomal RNA". It matches the Rfam family "Bacterial small subunit ribosomal RNA", at positions 524 to 776 of the family's 1533-position model. The record is from RNAcentral.
UACGAAGGGGGCUAGCGUUGUUCGGAAUUACUGGGCGUAAAGCGCACGUAGGCGGACUAUUAAGUCAGGGGUGAAAUCCCGGGGCUCAACCCCGGAACUGCCUUUGAUACUGCUAGUCUCGAGUCCGGAAGAGGUGAGUGGAAUUCCGAGUGUAGAGGUGAAAUUCGUAGAUAUUCGGAGGAACACCAGUGGCGAAGGCGGCUCACUGGUCCGGUACUGACGCUGAGGCGCGAAAGCUAGGGGAGCAAACGGG